Molecule: ribosomal RNA, 808 nt
Filed under: uncultured bacterium
Lineage: Bacteria
Description: bacterial SSU rRNA
Rfam family: Bacterial small subunit ribosomal RNA
Source: RNAcentral
CAUGCAGUCGAGCGGCAGCACAGAGAAACUUGUUUCUCGGGUGGCGAGCGGCGGACGGGUGAGUAAUGCCUGGGAAAUUGCCCUGAUGUGGGGGAUAACCAUUGGAAACGAUGGCUAAUACCGCAUGAUGCCUACGGGCCAAAGAGGGGGACCUUCGGGCCUCUCGCGUCAGGAUAUGCCCAGGUGGGAUUAGCUAGUUGGUGAGGUAAGGGCUCACCAAGGCGACGAUCCCUAGCUGGUCUGAGAGGAUGAUCAGCCACACUGGAACUGAGACACGGUCCAGACUCCUACGGGAGGCAGCAGUGGGGAAUAUUGCACAAUGGGCGCAAGCCUGAUGCAGCCAUGCCGCGUGUGUGAAGAAGGCCUUCGGGUUGUAAAGCACUUUCAGUAGGGAGGAAGGUGGUGCUGUGAAUAGCAGCAUCAUUUGACGUUACCUACAGAAGAAGCACCGGCUAACUCCGUGCCAGCAGCCGCGGUAAUACGGAGGGUGCGAGCGUUAAUCGGAAUUACUGGGGCGUAAAGCGCAUGCAGGUGGUUUGUUAAGUCAGAUGUGAAAGCCCCGGGCUCAACCUGGGAACUGCAUUUGAAACUGGCAAACUAGAGUACUGUAGAGGGGGGUAGAAUUUCAGGUGUAGCGGUGAAAUGCGUAGAGAUCUGAAGGAAUACCGGUGGCGAAGGCGCCCCUGGACAGAUACUGACACUCAGAUGCGAAGCGUGGGGAGCAAACAGGAUAGAAUACCUGGUAGUCCACGCCGUAACGAUGUCUACUGAGUGUGUCUUGAAACACUGGGCUUCGGAGGCUAACGCG